GCGAAAGCGAGUCCGAACAGGGCGUCCAGUCGCUGGGUGUAGACCCGAAACCAGGUGAUCUAUCCAUGGCCAGGCUGAAGGUGCGGUAACACGUACUGGAGGGCCGAACCCACUGACGUUGAAAAGUCAGGGGAUGAGCUGUGGAUAGGGGUGAAAGGCUAAACAAACCUGGAAAUAGCUGGUUCUCUCCGAAAACUAUUUAGGUAGUGCCUCGUGUAUCACCUUCGGGGGUAGAGCACUGUCAUGGUUGAGGGGUCCAUUGCGGAUUACCUCGCCAUAGCAAACUCCGAAUACCGAAGAGUGCAAUCACGGGAGACAGACAUCGGGUGCUAACGUCCGGUGUCAAGAGGGAAACAACCCAGACCGCCAGCUAAGGUCCCCAAACAUGGCUAAGUGGGAAACGAAGUGGGAAGGCUAAAACAGUCAGGAGGUUGGCUUAGAAGCAGCCACCCUUUAAAGAAAGCGUAAUAGCUCACUGAUCGAGUCGUCCUGCGCGGAAGAUGUAACGGGGCUAAGCCAUGUACCGAAGCUGCGGAUGCGUG
RNAcentral lists this ribosomal RNA (542 nucleotides) under Anophryoides haemophila. Its description in RNAcentral is "partial Bacterial large subunit ribosomal RNA". It matches the Rfam family "Bacterial large subunit ribosomal RNA", at positions 671 to 1212 of the family's 2925-position model. Lineage: Eukaryota; Ciliophora; Oligohymenophorea; Philasterida; Glauconematidae. The record is from RNAcentral.